ACUAAAUAGAUACCCCGGUAGUCCACGCCCUAAACGAUGUCUACUAGUUGUCGGGUCUUAAUUGACUUGGUAAACGCAGCUAAACGCGUGAAAGUAGACCGCCUGGGGAGUACGGUCGCAAGAUUAAAACUCAAAGGAAUUGACGGGGACCCGCACAAGCGGUGGAUGAUGUGGAUUAAUUCGAUGCAACGCGAAAAACCUUACCUACCCUUGACAUGGAAGGAAUCCCUGAGAGAUCGGGGAGUGCUCGAAAGAGAACCUUUACACAGGUGCUGCAUGGCUGUCGUCAGCUCGUGUCGUGAGAUGUUGGGUUAAGUCCCGCAACGAGCGCAACCCUUGUCAUUAGUUGCUACGAAAGGGCACUCUAAUGAGACUGCCGGUGACAAACCGGAGGAAGGUGGGGAUGACGUCAAGUCCUCAUGGCCCUUAUGGGUAGGGCUUCACACGUCAUACAAUGGUACAUACAGAGGGCCGCCAACCCGCGAGGGGGAGCUAAUCCCAGAAAGUGUAUCGUAGUCCGGAUUGUAGUCUGCAACUCGACUGC
Molecule: ribosomal RNA, 544 nt
Filed under: uncultured bacterium
Lineage: Bacteria
Description: bacterial SSU rRNA
Rfam family: Bacterial small subunit ribosomal RNA
Source: RNAcentral